RNAcentral lists this ribosomal RNA (466 nucleotides) under uncultured bacterium. Its description in RNAcentral is "partial 16S ribosomal RNA". It matches the Rfam family "Bacterial small subunit ribosomal RNA", at positions 28 to 507 of the family's 1533-position model. The record is from RNAcentral.
GACGAACGCUGGCGGCGCGCCUAACACAUGCAAGUCGAACGAGCGAGAGAGAGCUUGCUUUCUCGAGCGAGUGGCGAACGGGUGAGUAACGCGUGAGGAACCUGCCUCAAAGAGGGGGACAACAGUUGGAAACGACUGCUAAUACCGCAUAAACCCACGACCCGGCAUCGGGUAGAGGGAAAAGGAGCAAUCCGCUUUGAGAUGGCCUCGCGUCCGAUUAGCUAGUUGGUGAGGUAACGGCCCACCAAGGCGACGAUCGGUAGCCGGACUGAGAGGUUGAACGGCCACAUUGGGACUGAGACACGGCCCAGACUCCUACGGGAGGCAGCAGUGGGGAAUAUUGCACAAUGGGGGAAACCCUGAUGCAGCGACGCCGCGUGGAGGAAGAAGGUCUUCGGAUUGUAAACUCCUGUUGUUGAGGAAGAUAAUGACGGUACUCAACAAGGAAGUGACGGCUAACUACGUG